RNAcentral lists this unclassified non-coding RNA (988 nucleotides) under Drosophila virilis. RNAcentral's name for it is "GJ26795". The record is from RNAcentral. Lineage: Eukaryota; Metazoa; Arthropoda; Insecta; Diptera; Drosophilidae.
UCUACUCUUCAAGACGUAAAGCAGAUAAGAUGGUUGUCAUGAAACUGGCUACUGUAUUUUUUAUUGUUACUUCCUUAUAUGCUGCACCGAUCUCAGCAGCAGCGCUUCGAUUCCUUUAUGUGGAUGCCCCUCCACCACUACGCGAUCCGACUGUUUGAGUGGAACCACCAGGAAAGGAUCACAUUGUCCCGAACAACCAGCCCAGCAAACCCAACCAACUCAACCAACUCAACCGACGAAACCCACUCAACCAACACAACCAACUCAACCAACUCAACCAACUCAACCGACACAACCGACGCAACCAAAUCGACGGAUACGCAGACAUGCAACCCAACCAACUCAACCGACACAACCAACUCAACCGACACGACCAACUCAACCGACACAACCAACUGAACCAACACAACCGACACAACCAACUCAACCAACUCAACCAACUCAACCCACACAACCAACUCAACUAACGCAACAAAUUCGACGGGCACGCAGACCACCGACCAAUACAACCAACACAACUAACACAACCAACACAACUAACACAACUAACACAACCAACACAACCAACACAACCAAUACAACCAACACAACCAAUACAACCAACACAACCAACACGACCAACACAACCAAUACAACCAACACAACAAGGGCAAACUCGAUCUGGAAUUUACUAUAAUGGAAAUCGUUGUCAGGAUCCGAAACUUUUAUGACUUAAAAAAUGCUUAACAUUUCAACGAGAAUAAUUCUUAUUAUUUUAUUUUAAUUUUGAAUGCUAUAAGCCAUUCAAACCUAUGUUUCUGUAGCGAUAUCUUCAUGAAAAAAUAUAACACUUCGUGGUAUAUCUGUUAUGAUUUAGUCUCUGAUUUUGACUAGUCCGAACUACAGUUUUAGUUUGAAUUAAAUAUAUUUUCAAUGUUUCGCAAAAGUUUAAAAAUAAACAACUUAAAUUUAUGUGCGCCAUUCAGGUACAGCUAUUGGAUGAACGCAC